Molecule: long non-coding RNA, 433 nt
Organism: Suricata suricatta (meerkat)
Lineage: Eukaryota; Metazoa; Chordata; Mammalia; Carnivora; Herpestidae
Exons: 2
Source: RefSeq, a predicted model, not a curated record
GGAGCAGGGGAGGCAGUGUGCCGCUGGCCCAGGCCUGGUGGCUGGCUCCCGCCCCCAUUCCCGCCCCUGUAGCUCAGGUUUUCCCAGGAGGGGCCGCCUGCUCAGGUGUCUCCGGAUAGCCAUUUCCAGACAGGAGCAGGGCAAUUGUUCCCUGAACGCAGCCCAGGGAGAGGAGACGCUGUGGCGCUGCAGGAGAGCUGGUAAUUUUGUAACCAGCAAAUGAAAGGGCAGAGAAGAAUCACCAGGAAACCUUUCAUUUGGAGGAACCACCACAGAGAGCACCAUAAUGAAGCUGGUUCUGUGGACGGAGUAGGAGGACAGAGCAAGCCUGCAUUCUUCAUGCAAUCACUCAGCUACUAAUAAUACUGAUUCCUGAGCUACUUCUACCUUUGGACUCCCAGUUAUUUGAUAUAAUAAAUUUUUCAUUGUUUAA